RNAcentral lists this ribosomal RNA (99 nucleotides) under uncultured bacterium. RNAcentral's name for it is "partial 16S ribosomal RNA". It matches the Rfam family "Bacterial small subunit ribosomal RNA", at positions 1386 to 1482 of the family's 1533-position model. The record is from RNAcentral.
CACACCGCCCGUCACACCACGAAAGCUUGUUGUACCAGAAGUCGUUGGGCUAACCCGCAAGGGAUGCAGAUGCCGAAGGUAUGACAGGUAAUUGGGGUG